AACUCUCAAACCUCAUCUUCAUUGAUGAUGGGCUUGGAUUUGGACGCUUGCUGGACUUUAACGGUUCGGCUCGUCUUGAAUGCAUUAGCUGACGAUUUCGACUUCAGUUAAACCGUGUGAUAAUACAUCAACGCGGGCAGCCGUCAAGGCGCUGGGUCGUCAUUAGAAGGCUUCUAAUCGUCCUUUACGGGACCGCCUUUACUGGCGUUUCAUUUCAC
RNAcentral lists this unclassified non-coding RNA (218 nucleotides) under uncultured Basidiomycota. RNAcentral describes it as "sequence contains ITS2". Lineage: Eukaryota; Fungi; Basidiomycota. The record is from RNAcentral.